This 432-nucleotide ribosomal RNA is filed under the name uncultured bacterium. RNAcentral's name for it is "partial 16S ribosomal RNA". It matches the Rfam family "Bacterial small subunit ribosomal RNA", at positions 29 to 507 of the family's 1533-position model. The record is from RNAcentral.
AACGAACGCUGGCGGCAGGCCUAACACAUGCAAGUCGAGCGCGCCCUUCGGGGUGAGCGGCGGACGGGUGAGUAACGCGUGGGAACGUGCCUUCUCUGCGGAAUAGCCUCGGGAAACUGAGAGUAAUACCGCAUACGCCCUUUGGGGGAAAGAUUUAUCGGAGAAGGAUCGGCCCGCGUUGGAUUAGGUAGUUGGUGGGGUAAUGGCCCACCAAGCCGACGAUCCAUAGCUGGUUUGAGAGGAUGAUCAGCCACACUGGGACUGAGACACGGCCCAGACUCCUACGGGAGGCAGCAGUGGGGAAUCUUAGACAAUGGGGGCAACCCUGAUCUAGCCAUGCCGCGUGAGUGAUGAAGGCCUUAGGGUUGUAAAGCUCUUUCAGCUGGGAAGAUAAUGACGGUACCAGCAGAAGAAGCCCCGGCUAACUCCGUG